Molecule: ribosomal RNA, 497 nt
Filed under: uncultured bacterium
Lineage: Bacteria
Description: partial 16S ribosomal RNA
Rfam family: Bacterial small subunit ribosomal RNA
Source: RNAcentral
GAUGAACGCUGGCGGCGUGCCUAAUACAUGCAAGUCGAGCGAACAGAUGAGGAGCUUGCUCCUCUGACGUUAGCGGCGGACGGGUGAGUAACACGUGGAUAACCUACCUAUAAGACUGGGAUAACUUCGGGAAACCGGAGCUAAUACCGGAUAAUAUAUUGAACCGCAUGGUUCAAUAGUGAAAGACGGUUUUGCUGUCACUUAUAGAUGGAUCCGCGCCGCAUUAGCUAGUUGGUAAGGUAACGGCUUACCAAGGCAACGAUGCGUAGCCGACCUGAGAGGGUGAUCGGCCACACUGGAACUGAGACACGGUCCAGACUCCUACAGGAGGCAGCAGUAGGGAAUCUUCCGCAAUGGGCGAAAGCCUGACGGAGCAACGCCGCGUGAGUGAUGAAGGUCUUCGGAUCGUAAAACUCUGUUAUUAGGGAAGAACAAAUGUGUAAGUAACUAUGCACGUCUUGACGGUACCUAAUCAGAAAGCCACGGCUAACUACGUG